CAGUAGCCGCGGUAAUACAGAGGGUGCAAGCGUUAAUCGGAUUUACUGGGCGUAAAGGGCGCGUAGGUGGUUAUUUAAGUGAGAUGUGAAAUCCCCGGGCUUAACCUGGGAACUGCAUCUUAUACUGGGUAACUGGAGUGCAGUAGAGGGUAGUGGAAUUUCCGGUGUAGCGGUGAAAUGCGUAGAUAUCGGAAGGAACACCAGUGGCGAAGGCGGCUACCUGGACUGAGACUGACACUGAGGCGCGAGAGCGUGGGGAGCAAACAGGAUUAGAUACCCGGGUAGUCCCUGUCUCUUAUAC
This 301-nucleotide ribosomal RNA is filed under the name uncultured bacterium. RNAcentral describes it as "partial 16S ribosomal RNA". It matches the Rfam family "Bacterial small subunit ribosomal RNA", at positions 509 to 807 of the family's 1533-position model. The record is from RNAcentral.